Gossypium arboreum is the source of this 3212-nucleotide long non-coding RNA. RefSeq lists it as uncharacterized. The record is from RefSeq and is a predicted model, not a curated record. The transcript is spliced from 4 exons. NCBI's taxonomy places the organism in Eukaryota, Viridiplantae, Streptophyta, Magnoliopsida, Malvales, Malvaceae.
UGGCUGGUAUUAUUAUUGCACGGCUCAAGGCAAAAGAAACGUCUGAAAAACUACAAACAGUAACAUGAAAAGAUAAGCAACAGAAGAAAAGGAAACAGCUGUCUAAGCAGUAAUAAAUGAACUCCUAGAAACUACCAGUCUAAAAAAACAGAAAGAAAACGUCUUGAGCCAAACCUCUUCAUCUUUAAAAUAUCAGCCAAGCCUCUCUCUAAGUUGAAAAUCGGAACCGAGUAAAGGAGAGAGCAAAAGUUUUGAACACAAUGUUGGAGAUUCAUCGAACCUUCUCCAAUUUCAAAGCCACCGAGGGGAACCCUAGAGACUCUGGAACCAAGACAAUCUGUCUGCCGUUACCAUCUUCUUCACCGAUUCAGGCACACCAUUACCCUAUCCACCGCAAACCUGUCUUCUCCGGCCUUCCAAUGCAAGAGUAUGGGCUGCUCGGUUAACGAUUCUGGGCACAAACAGAGAGUCACCUUCUACUAGCAGACACCGAAAGCCCAUCUCAGUCGCAUAGAUUAGUGCUCUUUCACAAGCCCGCGCUUCUGCUACAAAUGCGUCAACGACAUCUUCAAACAGAUAAGUUUCUGCUCCUAAAAUUGGUCCUGUAGAAUCUCUGGCUAAUACUACUGUUGUAGCGAUUUUGGCUUCUUUUUGGAAAGACGCAUCAAAGUUUAGCUUGAUAACUCCCUCAUCUGGGGGUCUCCACAGAUCUUUCGUCAUCACUUUAAGAGGAGAACGGAGACUCUCUUAAAUUAGACUGAUCUCUUGUUCAUAACCUCGAAUGAACCCUAAGAAUUCUUGCAUAGAAACUUGACCCUUCAUGGAUUAAUUUGUUUCUGCGAUACCAAAGCCCCCAAAUAGAAAUAGAAAUAACUCGUUUCUGAUGCUCAUCUGCUGCAGAAAAUGUUUUAACAAAACGCCUCUUACUACACCACGAAGCUUCCAGCGGUGGGAUCUUUAUUUGUAAAGAAGCCCAAACACGCUAUAAAAUAUCACAGGACCAUACCAAAUGAUUUGAAUCCUCCAGAUCUGUCUUACACAAAGGGUAAGCAACAUCCACACUCAACUUCCGUCGCGCUAGAUUACCAAAAUGAGGCAACAAAUCAUUAAUCAGCCUCCAGUUAUGGAUUUUGAUUUUUUAUGGGAUAUUUAGUGACCAUAAGGCUUUGUAAAAAUCUUUGUAAGCAUCAUUCAUAGGGGAAACUUGGGUGUUAUAUUGUAAAUGAGCUGUAGUGAGAACUCUAUAUCCACUCUUUACAAUGUAUUCCCCCGAACCUUCGUGCUUCCAAACUAUCACAUCCUCCGAACUACCUCCAGAAAUCGGAAUAGCGAAGAUUCGAGCUGCUGUUUCCUCAUCAACUAUUUUUUCCACCAGCACCCUAUUCCAGGCAGCUAAGGGUCAUUCUAGAUAUUGACACAAGCACCACUUCCAAUCCGCCACACAAUCCCUUCCGCUAUCAACUCCCUAGCGCUGCGGAUACUUCUCCAGGUAAAAGAAAGGUUAAUUACAUCAACGGUUAAGAUUAAAAGGUAUCUACAAAUUAAAUCUCUAAGAUUACAAAAUUAUAUUUUCUAAGAUUGUAUAUUAUAUCUAAGAUUGCAUAUUAUUGAAGAUUAUAUUUUCAUAUGAGUUAAGCUUGUAGAUGGACCUUAAAUUUUUUCAAGUAAUGGGCCAUUCCGGUCGGGCCGAAUUAUAUUUGUAAUUCUAGAUUGAAUUUGGAUUUUUUUUUUUUUAGGUUUAUUAUUUAUGGACUUAUUUCUGGGCCCGGGAAAAAUUGAGUGUCUACAAAUUCAAAAUAACAAGUGGGCCUACCACUACUCGCUGUCUCUUCUUUCCUUCCAACAUUGCAAUAGGGUCAUUUUCCUCCUCUGAGAUCAAAUCCAUAGGCCCAUACUCCAACUCAUCAUUAUGGAUACCAUCUUUGCUCCAAUUACGCCCUUGACUUUGCACAAUAGGGGAUUGUUGUUGAUUAGAUCCCAAUUGAUUUAAAUUGAUAAUUGACAUUUGAUUCCCCAUAUUUCCGCCUAAUUUCCGCCCUGUAUCAUUCCCCUCAUUUAAUAAGAAAUUUUGAUUGAAACUUUCCAAAUUUCCAGCGUUGUACUGUAAGCCAUCAGCAUCUUGAAGCCAACUAUCACCACCAAGUUUCGACGCUUUGGUACAGCUCGCAGUGUUAAGUCCUAGCCAAAAAUUAUUUUUGAAAAUUCAAUUUUUAAUCGAUAUGGACAGUAGCUUUCACCAUGACCCAAUCUUCUACAAAUAAAACAAAAUAGACUAAGCUUUUCGUACUUAAAUUUGGCAUAAACAGUCAUAGUUUUCCUAAUCUGGAGCUUCUUCUUAAGUUUCAAUGGGGCAGAUACAUCCAAGAAAACACGAAUACGCGUGUAUUGUUUGAGACCCAAAGACAGUAUUGAAGUGUCGUAUUGAAGGAAUUUACCACAAAAAUUACCAAAUUGUUUAGCCAUCGUUUCGGUCAUGAUCCCUGGUGGUAAUUCAUGAACUUGUAUCCAAAACUCGGUAAAGUUUAGCGCUAAUGUUGCUGGAUUUUCUCCCAUUGGAAGUCUUUGAAGUAUAAGUAGAUGGUUAUUAAAGAACCACGGUGUUCCAGCAAGUACUCUAUGGAUGUCAACCUCGUGAAAAAAUUGAAAGAGAUACCUUUUUUCUCCGAGAUCUGUAAUGCAAAUUCCCCCAGUAGGGUGUCAGAGAUCAGCCAUAGUGUUCCGCAGUGAAGAGAAAUGUUAGGCAGCGUCCCACUAAACAGAAUUGAAAAGAUUUUUCCACCACCACACCUUCCUCGUGAAAAGCUUCUUCCUCUUCAUCUAAAAGACUCAGAUUUGUCAACUCCUCUUCCAUGAAGGAUUCAGCAGACCCCACCAGAUUGCAAAUGAAAAAGAAGAUGACGAAUUCAGAAAGUUUAAAGAAAACUAUAAAAGAAAACAGGAGUGAAGAAAAUCGUGCCAAAAGGCAGACAGAGAAUCGUGCCAAAAGGCAGACUUGUAAAAUUUAUUUCUUAUAUAUAGUAAAAUAUUUAAAACCCAACUUUCAUAAGUGGAAGCGAGAGCUACAAAGCGUUGGAUUUGUGCACCCAACUAUAUUUGUUUUUUCAUUUUGAUUUUUUUUUUGCUUAAUUUGAUAUUAAAGUACACUUUUUUAUGUUGUAAGGAAUAUUAAAAAUUUAUUUGACAACUUUGAUCAAUAAAAAAAUAUUACGUAA